RNAcentral lists this ribosomal RNA (258 nucleotides) under uncultured bacterium. Its description in RNAcentral is "partial 16S ribosomal RNA". It matches the Rfam family "Bacterial small subunit ribosomal RNA", at positions 57 to 305 of the family's 1533-position model. The record is from RNAcentral.
GCAAGUCGAGGGAGAGGAUUGAAGCUGUCAUUAAAGAUUAUAGGGGCAAACGGGUGAAUAACGCAUAGGAAACUUACCCCAAAGACGAGUAGAACAGAGAGAAAUGGCAGAAAAUACUAGAGAAGUAAUAAAAACGCAUGUUUUUAUUAUUAAAGAUUAUACAUGUCUUGGUUUGAGAUGGCCAUGCGGUGCAUUAGUUAGUUGGUGGGGUAACGGCCUACCAAGACGAUGAUGCAUAGCCGACCUGAGAGGGUGAUC